RNAcentral lists this non-coding RNA (483 nucleotides) under Pongo abelii (Sumatran orangutan). The record is from RNAcentral. Lineage: Eukaryota; Metazoa; Chordata; Mammalia; Primates; Hominidae.
GCUCUAUUCCAGAAGCAGUGUGGAGCACAAAGAAUCCCUAAUCCCUGACAUUAAGAAAGAAGAAAAAUAUUCCUAGGACGAUCCUGGAGAGCAAAGGUCAUUAGCAGUCACUUGACUUUCCUUGGAUUUCUCAACUGCAGUAGUCACACGGUCUGCUGAAAAUGAAUUCUCUUUAUUUUCAUCUGAUUUCAAGGAAUUAUGGUUUUCAGUGAUUUCUUCAUUUGGAUCUAUUUUGAGACAGAGUAAUAGCAUUAAAACCCCCUUCUGAAUUAAUAAGGCAUUUGUUGCUGAAACGCAAAGUGUGACAAGCCAAUGGAGAAGAGACACAGACAUGCAGAGAAAACACAGGGAAGAAGGCCACAUGGGAUGAAGGCAGAGAUGGGAAUGAUGCAGCUACAAGCCAAGGAAUGCCAUGGACUGCCAGCAACCACUAGAAAGAAGCUGGAAGAGGCAAGGAAGGAUUCUUCUGUGAUGCCUUCAGAG